GGAGGAGGGAGCCGUCAGCUCUACUGAGCAGGUUGUUAACUGAGCACUUACUGUACUCCAGGCGUGGCACGAGGGGCUCAGGGUGUUUUGAGAAACAAGAUGCUCUGGUCAGUCUGCGAAUAUGUCAGAAAUCCCUUCUCCCUUCUGAAGUUGCCCCAAGUGGUGUCAGAGAAGGAUGUGGAAGAGACGGACCCAGCCGCCAGCCAAAGUCUUCAUUGAAACUGCUGCCCGUUGGGGUCCUCAGGUAUGGACCGCAAGGAAGACAGGGAGCGAGCUCCCCGUGGCAAGGCACUCAGGGGACAUUGCUCGUGUUUGUCACCAAGCCUGGCAGCCGGCAGAGACGCAGGACAGCUGCAGGGGAGCCCUGCCGGAGGCUGUUGGGACAUGCCUUGGGACUGGCUUGGAGCACACGGUGGGCUUCCUCGGUUGGCUUUAGGGUGGAAGCAGAGAGGAGGAGCCGGGGCAGGUGUCAUGGAUUCGCCCCGUCCUGCUGGUUGGGCUGACUGCUCCGGAGUCCCUGGGCCUCCCCGGCUUGCUGCUCCCGACGCAGCCUGGAUUCCUGGGCUGGUCCCAGUGUGUGGCAGCCGGCUGCUCCCGGAUGUGGGUCAGAGCUCAUUUUGUGUGUGGCGUGGCCAUCGUCCACGCGGCUCUCGUGGGGCUGCCAUCACCCACCGCGUGGCCAGAGAGAGCAGAGACUCAUGCGGUCAUGGCUUUGGAGACUCGGGGUCCAAGAUCAAGGUGUCGGCAGGCCCCGCUCUCUGCUCACGUCUGGUGCUGACCGCCGGCUGCUGCGCCUGGCUUCAGUGGGUGGCUCCCUCUGUCUUCAUUGUCACGCCAGUGUCUUCCUCCUGUGCACCCGUGACAUCACCUGGCCUUCUCCACGCGUGUCUGUGACCCUUCUCAUGAGGAUGCCGGCCAUUGAUGAAGGGCCACCGUGAGCCCUUACGACUUCAUCCUAGCUUGGCCACAUGUUGGCUGGGGAGCCCUGUGCUGGACCCUCCUUCCUGGACAUGGCAGUGCGUGGGGCCUAGAGACGGUGUCUGGGUCGCGCAUGGAUUCUCUCUGCAUAGCCAGAACUGGGUGAGCUCCUGCGGGGACUUGGCCCGAUUCAUCUUGCAGACGGGAGCCCCCCUCCAUCCUUGCCCUCGUUAUAAAGCCGAGGAGCCCCUCCCCUGACGUGGCCGCCCAGUCUCAGUCUUUCUAACUUCCAGGACCUUGAGCAAAGGAGACGUCUGUCCUCUGUGAAUUCCCCAGUUCCAGCUUUGGAAAUGGACUAGGCCAUCCGCAGAGACCCGGCUUCCAAGGAAGGUUCCGUUCCAGGGGCCAGGACUUGAAGGUCCCACUCAGGCCCCCCUGGGUUAGGACUUGACCGUCCCGUUCUCAGGCACCGGGGGCCAGGACUGGAGUGGAUCAGUUUGGAGACAGCCAGCCCCUGUCACGGGGUCGGGGGGAGAUGUAACCGAGCAAUGGAGCUUGUUCUGACGGGUCUCCGGGGCGCUGGAAGGAGCAGGCAGGCCACGGUCCAGGAACGGUCACUCCAGGGUGGUUCCCAGGGGAAAGAGAAUUGCUUUUUGUGACAAUAUGAUGUUGUGGGGA
Molecule: long non-coding RNA, 1596 nt
Filed under: Marmota monax (woodchuck)
Lineage: Eukaryota; Metazoa; Chordata; Mammalia; Rodentia; Sciuridae
Source: RNAcentral